This is a long non-coding RNA of Passer domesticus (house sparrow), 551 nucleotides long. RefSeq lists it as uncharacterized. NCBI's taxonomy places the organism in Eukaryota, Metazoa, Chordata, Aves, Passeriformes, Passeridae. The transcript has 3 exons. The record is from RefSeq and is a predicted model, not a curated record.
AGGGUUUGUGGGAAACAGGGCACCCCCCUGUUGCCCAGAGAGGAAUCAUGGAAUCCUGAUUCUAUGGUGCUUAACCUGCACUGCCAAGUGCACCACUGAGCCAUGUGUAAAUGGUACACAUCUUUUAAACACCUCCAGUGAUGGUGACCCAACCCCUUCUCUGGGGACUCACCAGUAGCUCCAUCACCAGUUCUCCCUGUAGCAGUGGGCACAAUGCACCUUCUCACAGUGCAGGCCAGGAAAACCCAACAGAUCACCCCACCCAUGCUGCAGAAAAACUUUCAGCUGAUUGUGGAGCUGAAAUUCUAGUCAGCAGGCUCUACAAUGCCUGCAGCUAACUCUAACCUUGACACGAACUGAACGAAGAUAUUUUGCAGAAAAGAAAUAAUGAAGCAACCUGACUUGCAACAGGAGAACAAUGUUUUGGAAACCAUGAAAGCAGCCUGUUUGCCACAGUUACAAAGAAAAAGUAUAAUUGGACCUGGAUUUCAAGAUGUUGAGGAGAUACAUAUUGAUUUUGACUCUUCUGAAAAAUAAAUUGGCCUUUAAUC